RNAcentral lists this long non-coding RNA (845 nucleotides) under Androctonus crassicauda. Lineage: Eukaryota; Metazoa; Arthropoda; Arachnida; Scorpiones; Buthidae. The record is from RNAcentral.
GGGCAGGUGACCGAUAGAGAAGAAGACAGUUCAGCAGCAACUCUCGUCACUUUGGGCAGAGGUUUGACUUUGUGGCAUUUGUACAAGCCACCAGGCAAAGGGGGAAAGAAUGCUGUAGGGGACCAUACCUAAGGGACCAAAAGAUACCCACUGUUACUGAAGCAUUUCGACCUUUGACCUCUGCCCUAAUUCCUUCCUCUCCUAGUCCUUUUCCUCCGCCCAGGUGUCAUAGCACCGCCCCAGUUGUGGCAGUAGACAUUCGCACGGACAUUUAGAUGGAGUCCUCUUGGAAAAUAGGGCUGUUCGCAAUGUGGUUGUGAUUGCCAGCAGUUUGGAUGGCGUUAAAGUGGAGUUCAGGGUUGAACAUGUCCCGCUCUUCUUCCCACAAGAACCUUGGACUUUCAGGAGCCUCAGGAUCAGUCCUCUAGCAUUUCCUUCACCUUUCUCAUGGACAGGGACAGCGUGUCUGUGUGUGGAGGGUCGGGGUUACAAGGUAAGCUAGGUCACACACCUGCCGCUCGUCCUCCCCCUGCUGCAGUCUCUUAGGUCUCACUCGCACUGGAAUGCAAAGCGAUGGCCAGCUGUCUCCCUCCGCGGCAUCUGCUAUCGAGAGAAGAUGGAACGAGGGGCGCCAGAGUUUCAUGGGGGCUUUACUCAUUCAUUUCAUUUAGGGACUCUGUUGGGGGGAGGGGCAGGAAUCGCAUUCACACAUGACAUUUCAAUUCAUCUCUACAAAUGAAGAGCGUCCUCCCCGUUGGGAGCUAUCUGUAUGUUCGCUUUGUCGGCAUCAGGUUCUGGGACUUUGAAGUCAAUUGCUGUCAGGCCAGGGAAAUAAAAUAAUUGCU